GAGACAGGCCUUAGAGCCAGCUCCCCGGGGCGCUCACGGCCUGGGGACUCGCCACUCUCCCGCCAGCCACACAGGAGGCGCACCCACACCUUCCAGGGCCUUCCGUGAGCCCACGGGUGAAGCAGGGAGACUUCGUUCUGGGGGAGACAGGGCAGCUGCAGAGUCCAGUCUGCCCACCUUGUCUUCACCAGCAGACCACACGGAGACAGGAGUUUGCACGAGCCCAGGGACAAGAUGCUACAGACAGAGCGGCUUGAACACUCACUUAGACGGGGUGGAACGAUGGAGAAACAGCCAGGCUCAGACGGAGGGCACACCAGCACCGUGUUGCCAGCAGCCUGGCCUCGAAGGAGCGGCAGAAGUGAGUUCUCCGAAGAAAUAACAACAGAAAAAGACUUAGAACUCAGAAAGGAACAAGGGCCAUCAGACUGGUAAAGCCAGGGAGGCUCCUUUCUCUUGGUCGAUAGUCGGGGCGGGUGAGCCAGGGCCGGCCCAUCCCAGCAACCGGGCCCCUGGCUGCAGACAUCUGGUAGGGAAUAAACGUGGGACAGAAGGGUUCUGGAACCCUCCUAGGAGCUGCUGCUGAGGCUGAGGACAGAAAAGCCUGGAGUUGCUGGCGACCAUCCUUCAUCUCGAGGGGAGAAGAUGCCGAACGCCCAGCAGCCACCCCACCUGCGCGGCAGGUGGAAGCCAGGUCACAUGGUGCC
This is a long non-coding RNA of Hyaena hyaena (striped hyena), 707 nucleotides long. RefSeq lists it as uncharacterized. Lineage: Eukaryota; Metazoa; Chordata; Mammalia; Carnivora; Hyaenidae. The record is from RefSeq and is a predicted model, not a curated record. The transcript is spliced from 3 exons.